This 500-nucleotide ribosomal RNA is filed under the name uncultured bacterium. Its description in RNAcentral is "partial 16S ribosomal RNA". It matches the Rfam family "Bacterial small subunit ribosomal RNA", at positions 28 to 507 of the family's 1533-position model. The record is from RNAcentral.
GACGAACGCUGGCGGCGUGCUUAACACAUGCAAGUCGAACGGGUCUGCCCUGUUUUUUGCGGGGUGGGUCGGUGGCGAACGGGUGAGUAACACGUGAGUAACCUGCCCCUCACUUCUGGAUAACCGCUUGAAAGGGUGGCUAAUACGGGGUGUUCUGGCUGUGCCGCAUGGUGUGGCUGGGAAAGAUUCACUUUUGUGGUGUUUUGGUGGGGGAUGGGCUCGCGGCCUAUCAGCUUGUUGGUGGGGUGAUGGCCUGCCAAGGCUUUGACGGGUAGCCGGCCUGAGAGGGUGGGCGGUCACACUGGGACUGAGCUACGGCCCAGACUCCUGCGGGAGGCAGCAGGGGGGGGUAUUGCACAAUGGGCGGAAGCCUGAUGCAGCGACGUCGCGUGAGGGAUGGAGGCCUUCGGGUUGUGAACCUCUUUCGCCGGUGAAGAAGGUCCUGCUCUUUGUGGUGGGGUUGACGGUAGCCGGGUUAUGAAGCGCCGGCUAACUACGUG